ACAGUUCAAGCUAAAUACUAAAAUGCUCAAUUAUGGCCGAUCAAACAAUUAAAUUACAAGAACUCAAUUCAGAUUACAUGGCUUAUAUAAAACAAUUAAACACAUUAAGAUGCCCUUCUUCUUUUCCUGGUGGGAUUCACAUUUGUUUGUCCAUUAAUGAUACGAAACGAUGGAUUAAUCCAAAUUCCCUCAUCAUGAUCAUCUCUAAGAUAUAAACCAUCAUCAGUUGAAUCAAUU
RNAcentral lists this long non-coding RNA (237 nucleotides) under Cicer arietinum (chickpea). RNAcentral describes it as "long non-coding RNA (CARI_LNC003314)". Lineage: Eukaryota; Viridiplantae; Streptophyta; Magnoliopsida; Fabales; Fabaceae. The record is from RNAcentral.